AGCUGAUGCAUUUCGUGGUUUCUCUCCCAGUACCACCGCAUUAGCUGUUCCCCUCUGGAGGUUAUUGACCUUCACAACUUAUAAGGGCCCUGGUUUCCGGUGGCCCUCUUUU
RNAcentral lists this small RNA (112 nucleotides) under Rhizobium etli. RNAcentral's name for it is "ar15". It matches the Rfam family "Alphaproteobacterial ar15". Lineage: Bacteria; Pseudomonadati; Pseudomonadota; Alphaproteobacteria; Hyphomicrobiales; Rhizobiaceae. RNAcentral also lists the same sequence under 2 other names. The record is from RNAcentral.